This 253-nucleotide ribosomal RNA is filed under the name uncultured bacterium. Its description in RNAcentral is "partial 16S ribosomal RNA". It matches the Rfam family "Bacterial small subunit ribosomal RNA", at positions 524 to 776 of the family's 1533-position model. The record is from RNAcentral.
GACAGAGGGUGCAAACGUUGUUCGGAAUUACUGGGCGUAAAGCGCGUGUAGGCGGCCGCGUGUGUCGGGCGUGAAAUCCCACGGCUCAACCGUGGAAGUGCACUCGAAACUGCGCAGCUAGAGUCCUGGAGAGGAAGGUGGAAUGCUUGGUGUAGAGGUGAAAUUCGUAGAUAUCAAGCGGAACACCGGUGGCGAAGGCGACCUUCUGGACAGUGACUGACGCUGAGACGCGAAAGCGUGGGGAGCAGACAGG